This is a long non-coding RNA of Pezoporus flaviventris, 385 nucleotides long. RefSeq lists it as uncharacterized. The record is from RefSeq and is a predicted model, not a curated record. The transcript has 3 exons. Lineage: Eukaryota; Metazoa; Chordata; Aves; Psittaciformes; Psittacidae.
CCAAGUCACAUACACUCAGGACCUGCAAAUCUUGACAGUGUCGAUAAACACUGGACAAUGACCCUGCAGACUUGGGUGCAGAGGACGAUCCUGCAGAACUCAAAGAUGUCAACUUUUGCUCAAGCCCAAGACAUUUAGCAGUGUCUAACUAAGGAGCCUACUCAGCCAGCACCUUCCUUUGUUGACAGACAAAUUAUCUCCAGGCAGCAUCUCAGGUCUUUGGCACCUUUGGAGGAAUAGUUAAAGUCCAUUAGCAAGAGAGCAGACAGCUUCCUUCCAUUCGCCUUCCAUGAAGACAAAUGUUGUUAUGGCUUCCAUUGCCCUCUCAGUGUGUUAGACAUGAGCUUCCACGGUGAAUAAAAAAACAAAUUGGGAAAGUUUUUAA